UCUCCCAGUCUGGCCUCCUGUCUGGGAUUGCCCUGGCCCAGGUGCAGCACCUUGCACUUGGCCUUGUUGAACCUCAUUAGGUUCACAUGGGCCUUCACUUCGCCAGCAUACCCAGGUCCCUUUGGAUGGCAUCCCCUCCUUCUGGCGUAUCAGCUGUACCUCUCAGCUUGGUGUCAUCUGCAAACUUGCUGAGGGUGCACUCAAUCCCACUGUCUAUGUGACUGAUGAAGAUAUUAAACAGCACUGGACCCAGGACCGACCCCUUACCAACAUGUAGCUGAGAGCUGCCCAUGUGAAUACAGGAGAAGUGGGCUGGUCAGGCUCUCAGGAGCACCCGCUCAGAUCUUUGUGGGCCCGUCUGUGCCGGGAGAGAAGCCUUCUUCAUCACCUUGUUCACCACAGCAAGAGAUGUGCCCCAAAAUAUGUGUCUGCAGGGCAGCAGGGAUAUGAGAGAGGAUGCCUCAAUGCCCAGGCAAGGGCUGCUCCUGCUCAGGUGGCCCCAAGCAGCAGCCAGCAGCACAAAUGACCACCAGCAGUGACACAAGGACAAUGACAUGGCUGGAAAUCCCUGUGGGGACUCUGCCCCGUGGUGCUUGUGCCUCGUGACAGCAGCUUAGGACCAGCUGCGCUGGCCAGGCAGGCUGGUGGCUUGCCUUGCAGGGGGCUGCGGCAUUAGGUCUGCACCGAGUAGCUCCUCCUCCCCACCAGAGGGACUACCUCCAGGCCUAGAAAGUGCUUUGGCCCUGGUGGAGGUGGCAGAGGAUGUCAGGGCCUGCUGGCCUGACCACUGCCCCAGUGGUGGGUGCUUUUGUUUGCAUUCAGGAUGCUUUUACGGCAUUGCACUGCCUGGAGUUUCUCUGUUAUGCAAAUAGGUUGAGAAAUAGAGGAUAUGAGAUUAAGGCUAUGCAACACUCAACUGGAUGAAUUAUUUGCCCCUGUGGGUCCCCAGACAGAUCUUAACAGUCUGUACAGCUCCGUUCUUGCUUGCUUACUCUGUCAGUGCUAUGGACUAUUUGUCCCCAACUUUAAACAUCUUUUACCAGUUAUUUUCCAGAAGCCAAACUAGUGCUUACAUAACCAUCAGUAGUUAUGCAACCCACCAUUCAAGCUUUGUUUGCUGGGAAACAAUGUGUGUUUGUUUAUUCAUUCUUUGUCCUUCUCAAUGGAGGAAAUACAUCCUGUGUGCCCUUGGCUCUGUCACUUUUUGCAGUUGUGAUGAACAUCUCUGCCAGUCUCUUACUGCGCUCUGCUUCUACCUUCACACCCUUGCUUACCAGCACUGGAAGAUAAGUUAUCACAUGGGAUGUGAAUGGGUACAGAGGCACUGACUACCACGUGCUGAUGCUCAUUGUGCUCCUGCCACUGCAAACAAUACUAGUUUUGAACCUUCGGAUUCCGCUCUCACCUGCAACUAAUUUGGAAUUGUUUGAGAUUUCUGAUAGCUGGAGCCCUCUCUGUCUUAUUUCUUCUCCCCUGCACCAUGGAGGAGUGCGGAGAACCUGCUGUGAGAACUAGAAGAAAAAAAAUCGGCUCUAUUAGCUGGUAUACAAAAUGCGUUGGUCCAAGUUUGAAUGCUAUCAGUGAAGAAACUAGAAAUGCAAGUAACCUUAUACUUUCGGCUUGUGGCUAUAGAUUAGUCAACAUGUCCCCAUCCACAUGCACGCAUGGAUUGCUUACACUCCAAACGUCACCAAAGGUGCAUUAUGGCAUUAGGACACUCAUCGAGGAAAGGAUGAUGAAGGAUCUUGAAGGAUCUGCAGCUUUAUAGCUAUGUCUCAAGUUACUAAUACAACUUAGUAUCUAAUGAGAAGAGAUGUGCAAUGGAGCUGAACAUUCAUGAAGCCUUAGCCACAAGCUGCUUGUUGCAGUGCAAGGAAACCAGGGUGGGGCAUUACAUGCUCUGGAACAUGCCUUAGUAAGAUCAGGUUAAUGUCACAGCAAGUGAAAGCUAAUCCCUUCGGAGUAGCAAAGAAACUGCUUGCAUACACCAUAAUCUGGGGGUGGGUUUUAGCAAGCUACUUUAUCAACUGCCUUGUUUAGCAAUAGACCUAAAUUGCCAUAUUAAUCCUAGUGCCUGAGGUCAAGUAGUUCCUGCCCUCCUGCGCAACACUGCGCCAGGCGGAGGCAGUAGGCACUUGCCUGGCUUGCAGAUGACUUUUUAGAUGGAACUCAUUGACUUAGGAAGCUGAGUCUUUUGAAAGGAAUUCUUUCAGGAAAAGCAGUGUCCUUCAGUACAUACUGAAAGUACGGGUGAUUGCCAAUGGGUGGAGGUGAUGUCUGCAGAUUGACUACAGUCUAACUCCCAAAAGUGGCUUUGUAAUAUUACAGUAAUAUUACUGCAAUAUUAACAGCAAUAAUAACAGCAAUAGCCAGUGCCAGGGAAGCUUGUUACCUCCUGAAAGCAAGAGUUGUGCAGUAACUUGUGAAAACUUGGCCUGUAGCAGUUAAAGGACAUACCGCUGCAUGAAAAAAAGUAGCGUUGUGCUCUGCUCUAGACCUCAUGACAACAGUGUCCUCUCAAUACAUAUAUUCACCCAUACUGCUACAUACGUACUUGGAACUACCCCCUGAUUAAAGUAUGCACUUGCUAUUCAUGAACGCAUUACGUAGGCCUGUUGCCUAAUUGACAUGCAAAUUAUCAGAGGUUGCAAAAGCUACACUGAUACUUUAUUACAAGCUACUUCUCUCAAAGACCUGACUUAUUAGGAAUUGUUCACUGAUAAGCAGUUUUUCCACUGAAGGUUAGCGUGGAGCACACAUGAAAGUAGAACAUGCAACUGGAGUGAACUUGGGCAAGAACUUGGGCAGCCACAAGCAACCUUGCACCUCCCAUCCAUAUAAUGGGAUAUAGGCCCUCCCUUCCUAGGACAUUACACCCUGACUUUUUUUUUUUAAAGAAAAAAACAACUGUGUCAAGCAGUCACAAAGUACCACUUAUUAAAUCCCAUUGGCAAUUUUCCUCUUGAAACAACAGAAUGCUUCUCAGGUACAAAAAAGGACCCUGCUGAGCACUCAAGUGGAAGCACCUGCGUGAGACUACUGCACAUACAGCUAACCAAGAGUAAAGCAGCAGAGGGCAGGUAGCAGAACCCCUUCUAAAUGCUCUCCUGCUCAUACUGCAGCAUUAUCUUAAGUAAGAAUAUACUAAGUUUUUGUGCAUGCAUAGUACUACAUCAACACAUCUGCUAGCUUUAAAGUUCUGACAGGAGCUCGGGCGCAACCUCUAGAGACUUGGCUGACUGCAAAACCUAAGCACCUAAAACCUAAACUGCAUUAGUUCUUGGGCUAUCAACACCUGACAGCUGAUUUCUGCUUGCUGGCCGUAGCUGCCUUGGCGAACACUAGACCUGCUUCCCUGCCCACAUUGCAUAGGCUGUUCGGCUCCCUCUUGGCCCUGGGAGAGGCAAGGCCAGUAGCACCCAUGUGGUGCCAGAACUGUUGUGAAUGUUGCACCCUUCUGUAGCUCAUGAGUGGUUAAGAACAUUCCCAUCUCAGCUUCAGUGUAGCACUAUCCUAACCUUUGUUUGUACUGAUAUGGGUUAGCACCUCCCAACACGUAAGAUGCCCUGGGACUGACUAAAAAAAUAACAGCCCAGGGAUAAGGCAUAGUGUUUUACACCCACUCCCAGAUAGAAUUAGGAUGCACAUGGAGUGUACCACAGGGCUAGAUGCCCACAAAACCCAUGUGAAAGAAUGGAGAAGCAGAGGGGAGCCUAGACAUAGCCUCAACAAAUUUAAGGUAGAAGUUCCUGAGGAGCUUUAAGUACCCAUAGGCCUUCUUUUAAUAGAUAAACUCAUCCCUCACACUACACAAGGAAAUGGUACUGAAAGUUCUGGUUUACACUCAUUGAGAAGGCAGUACUUCAGAUGAAGGUCAGUGUAGAUCACUUUUUAUUCCAGGGAUGCCCUUUUAACCACUGACAAUUCAUCUUACGGAAGCUGAAUAUGAAAAAUAAAAAUACAACUAAACAGUGGCUCUAGAAAUUUAUUUUCAGAGCUUAGUGCUUUAACUAUGAUUAAAAUGCUUAUAAGCAAUUUAAAAAUGCUACUGACUGGGUACUAGAACUAGAUGAGAGUAAGAUUAACACCAUUACUUUCAUGCACUGACAGAUACUAAUUUGCUCAUUCCACUGAAGUAAGAUCUUUCCCGUUCACUCAUCACUUCAAAAUGUAGAGGUCUUCUACAGAAGUUACAUUCAGCUGAUGAGUGUGGUUUCAGCUCCAGACCAACAUCCUUCCAUGUAGCCAGCAGUUUUUC
Long non-coding RNA from Cygnus olor (mute swan), 4258 nucleotides. RefSeq lists it as uncharacterized. Lineage: Eukaryota; Metazoa; Chordata; Aves; Anseriformes; Anatidae. The transcript is spliced from 3 exons. The record is from RefSeq and is a predicted model, not a curated record.